This 1451-nucleotide ribosomal RNA is filed under the name uncultured organism. RNAcentral's name for it is "SSU rRNA". It matches the Rfam family "Bacterial small subunit ribosomal RNA". The record is from RNAcentral.
UUGGCGGCAGGCCUAACACAUGCAAGUCGAGCGGUAGCACAGAGAGCUUGCUCUCGGGUGACGAGCGGCGGACGGGUGAGUAAUGUCUGGGAAACUGCCUGAUGGAGGGGGAUAACUACUGGAAACGGUAGCUAAUACCGCAUAACGUCGCAAGACCAAAGUGGGGGACCUUCGGGCCUCAUGCCAUCAGAUGUGCCCAGAUGGGAUUAGCUAGUAGGUGGGGUAACGGCUCACCUAGGCGACGAUCCCUAGCUGGUCUGAGAGGAUGACCAGCCACACUGGAACUGAGACACGGUCCAGACUCCUACGGGAGGCAGCAGUGGGGAAUAUUGCACAAUGGGCGCAAGCCUGAUGCAGCCAUGCCGCGUGUGUGAAGAAGGCCUUCGGGUUGUAAAGCACUUUCAGCGGGGAGGAAGGCGGUGAGGUUAAUAACCUCAUCGAUUGACGUUACCCGCAGAAGAAGCACCGGCUAACUCCGUGCCAGCAGCCGCGGUAAUACGGAGGGUGCAAGCGUUAAUCGGAAUUACUGGGCGUAAAGCGCACGCAGGCGGUCUGUCAAGUCGGGAUGGGAAAUCCCCGGGGCUCAACCUGGGAACUGCAUUCGAAACUGGCAGGCUAGAGUCUUGUAGAGGGGGGUAGAAUUCCAGGUGUAGCGGUGAAAUGCGUAGAGAUCUGGAGGAAUACCGGUGGCGAAGGCGGCCCCCUGGACAAAGACUGACGCUCAGGUGCGAAAGCGUGGGGAGCAAACAGGAUUAGAUACCCUGGUAGUCCACGCCGUAAACGAUGUCGAUUUGGAGGUUGUGCCCUUGAGGCGUGGCUUCCGGAGCUAACGCGUUAAAUCGACCGCCUGGGGAGUACGGCCGCAAGGUUAAAACUCAAAUGAAUUGACGGGGGCCCGCACAAGCGGUGGAGCAUGUGGUUUAAUUCGAUGCAACGCGAAGAACCUUACCUGGUCUUGACAUCCACAGAACUUUCCAGAGAUGGAUUGGUGCCUUCGGGAACUGUGAGACAGGUGCUGCAUGGCUGUCGUCAGCUCGUGUUGUGAAAUGUUGGGUUAAGUCCCGCAACGAGCGCAACCCUUAUCCUUUGUUGCCAGCGGUUAGGCCGGGAACUCAAAGGAGACUGCCAGUGAUAAACUGGAGGAAGGUGGGGAUGACGUCAAGUCAUCAUGGCCCUUACGACCAGGGCUACACACGUGCUACAAUGGCAUAUACAAAGAGAAGCGACCUCGCGAGAGCAAGCGGACCUCAUAAAGUAUGUCGUAGUCCGGAUUGGAGUCUGCAACUCGACUCCAUGAAGUCGGAAUCGCUAGUAAUCGUAGAUCAGAAUGCUACGGUGAAUACGUUCCCGGGCCUUGUACACACCGCCCGUCACACCAUGGGAGUGGGUUGCAAAAGAAGUAGGUAGCUUAACCUUCGGGAGGGCGCUUACCACUUUGUGAUUCAUGACUG